This 836-nucleotide ribosomal RNA is filed under the name uncultured archaeon. RNAcentral describes it as "bacterial SSU rRNA". It matches the Rfam family "Archaeal small subunit ribosomal RNA", at positions 42 to 872 of the family's 1478-position model. The record is from RNAcentral.
GAGUUAGCUCUCUUAGCCAUGAUAGAGGGCGGCGUACGGCUCAGUAACAUGUGGUCAAUCUACCCUCAGGACGGAGAUAACCUCGGGAAACUGAGGCUAAUAUCCGAUAGAUAAUGGAUCCUGGAAUGGUUCAUUAUUCAAACGGCACAUUGCUCAUGCGCAGUGUGCCGCCUGAGGAUGAGACUGCACCCUAUCAGGUAGUUGGUGGGGUAACGGCCCACCAAGCCUAUAACGGGUACGGGCCCUGAGAGGGGGAGCCCGGAGAUGGGCACUGAGACAAGGGCCCAGGCCCUAUGGGGCGCAGCAGGCGCGAAACCUCUGCAAUAGGCGAAAGCUUGACAGGGUUACUCUGAGUGAUUUCCGUUAAGGAGAUCUUUUGGCACCUCUAAAAAUGGUGCAGAAUAAGGGGUGGGCAAGUCUGGUGUCAGCCGCCGCGGUAAUACCAGCACCCCGAGUGGUCGGGACGUUUAUUGGGCCUAAAGCAUCCGUAGCCGGUUCUACAAGUCUUCCGUUAAAUCCACCUGCUUAACAGAUGGGCUGCGGAAGAUACUAUAGAGCUAGGAGGCGGGAGAGGCAAGCGGUACUCGAUGGGUAGGGGUAAAAUCCGUUGAUCCAUUGAAGACCACCAGUGGCGAAGGCGGCUUGCCAGAACGCGCUCGACGGUGAGGGAUGAAAGCUGGGGGAGCAAACCGGAUUAGAUACCCGGGUAGUCCCAGCUGUAAACGAUGCAGACUCGGUGAUGAGUUGGCUUAUUGCUAACUCAGUGCCGCAGGGAAGCCGUUAAGUUUGCCGCCUGGGGAGUACGGUCGCAAGACUGAAACUAAAGGAAUGGCGGG